This is a long non-coding RNA of Lepus europaeus (European hare), 2351 nucleotides long. RefSeq lists it as uncharacterized. Lineage: Eukaryota; Metazoa; Chordata; Mammalia; Lagomorpha; Leporidae. The transcript has 5 exons. The record is from RefSeq and is a predicted model, not a curated record.
AUAAUCUCAGGACAAGAUUGACUGUAGAAAGCUGAAACCAUGGAAAGUGAAGCUGUGAUUAAAGGGGGAACUAAUCUUCAGUCUCUGGUGAACUUGAUCAUCGUGUUCUAAAUCAUAUGCCUCUAUUUUAGCAGAACAGAUUUGAAGCUCCUUCUCUGAGUAAACCUUUGUUCUCUACUUUGAAUCCCUCUGAGACACACUUCUGUAUGGGAGUCUUGAUCAUGUUGGUCCCAACAAGGCUGAAGAUGGUGCUCAACACACAAAUCCGUGGAGGAGGCUUGGGAUCACAGAUGUUUUUUUGAGAUUAAAAUGAGCCAUAAUCAAGAGGAAGGAAAAUUGCAGUCAGACCCCACAGCUAAAGAAUACAAUGAGAAUUCUGGAAAACAGCAGACUCUGUGGCUUUCUGACACUGAGAACAUAGAUGUAGGAGGGGGAACAGCUUAAUGAAAAAGCUACCUUAUUUGGGAAAAGCCCUGAUUUAAGAAAAAAAAAAAAAGAAAGAAAAAGAAAAAAGAAAAAAAGAAGUGCCUGGAACUUUGUAAGUCUGGGGAUAAAUAGAACAGAUAUUCAUCGCAGACCUACCUGGCAAGCGUACGUAUGGGGCCUGGGGUAAUGGGAGUGCACUGCACUGAUUUUCUGCUCAGGCCUGCAAAUGUCUAAUUCUCACAGACUUUCAGCUUAGCUGUUCACCGUCUGUUUCUUCCAUGUCUCUCUUUACAUUUUUUGCUCUUGUUCAAUAACUAGUAUAAAAAUAAAAUGAUAAAUUUUGAACCUUAUUAAAAAUAGCAAUGAAACACACAAAUACCACCACCACUACCACAUGGGAAGCUUCUCAAAUGUGGUGGCUUGUUUUCUGAGCGGGUGUGCGUGUAUGUGUGCUUAAUGGACUGGUAGCAGCAAUUUCUAGAAUUUCAUUGGCAAAGUUCUUCCAUUCCACAACAGGAUCACCAAGACAAACCAAAGGCUUAGAACAUUUUCCUAGACUUAAAGCUAUAUCUACUCAGUCUAACAAAUGAUUUGUUCUGUUCCUAUAAGCUUUGUCCAGUAGCUAAAGUUUAUUAAGUCAGUUUGAGUGGAAAGACCUGGGUAAGCUUGGUUUUCCUGUAAAAUAUACAGGGCUCAGAGUCUGUGGAAGGCCAAGACUCCUCUAUAUUUCUCAAACUUGAAUGUGCAAAGAUAUCCUCUUUAUUGCUUGUUGAAAAAUGUGAGAAUGAGUAGAUAUCUCUGAUGGUAAGAAUCCGCAUUUUAAAUAAACCUGCCAAGGACUGUUUUUUUUUACUUAGGAGGUUAAUACUUGGAGAACUAUGACUGUUAAUACAGUUUAGGGGUACAGGCCUAUUUUUUAAGGAAAAAAAUUUCAGGCCUGGCAUUGGCACUUGUCAACAUUUUUAAAAAAAAGUGCAGUAUAAGGCCGGCUCCAUGGCUCACUAGGCUAAUCUUCAGCCUGCGGCGCUGGUACUACAGGUUCUAGUCCCGGUUGGGGUGCUGGAUUCUGCCCUGGUUGCCCCUCUUCCUGUCCAGCUCUCUGCUGUGGCCCGGGAAGGCAGUGGAGGAUGGCCCAGAUGUUUGGGCCCUGCACCCGCGUGGGAGACCAUGAGGAAGCACCUGGCUCCUGGCUUUGGAUCAGCGCAGCACGCCAGCCGUAGCGGCCAUUUGGGGGGUAAACCAACAGAAGGAAGACCUUUCUCUCCGUCUCUCUCUCUCUCUCAUUGUCUAACUCUGCCUGUCAAAAAAAUGCAGUAUGUCCAUUUUGUGUGAAUUGACACCUAUGGUUGUUAAUCAAUGGUGGAAUCAGACACCGAUGCCAAUGCUGUUAUUUUUAGACAUGUGUUCCUUUUCCUCCCAAAACUUCAAAUGCAAAACAUUCAAUUUAUAUUAUCAGGGUCUUCCUGGCACUCAGUGAGCUCUAAAGCUUUGCUCGAGUAACAUUUGCCCUUCUUCGUUUCCAUUUCUGUGUUUCUCUCUUCUCUGCCUUUCACUUACCUUCCUUUUUUUUGUCCAUCAAAGAAAGCUGAAUAUGGUUGCUUAUAGCAUGAUGUGCUUCCUUCUAGCAUUUUAAACAUUUCUUUCAUUAGGUUAGUGUCAGAAGCAAGGGUACUGAGUGAUGCUUUUAGCACCUGCUAAAUUAUGUGUGUGUAUGUGUGUGUAUUUUUGGAAGGGGAUCCAAAGCAUGCCCAGAGCUCUAAUUUAAAGAGCUCUUCCUGAAGGAGGUACCUUUUUCUGAAGGGAGGAGAGAACUUCCACUUUGACUAUGACCCUAUCGGAAUAAGAUCAAAGUCAGCGAACUCUAAAGGCUUCCAUAGCCCUGGCAACUCAUGACUAGAGCCUAGGGAGAUUACUGACGCGAUGAA